UACGUAGGGGGCGAGCGUUGUCCGGAUUUAUUGGGCGUAAAGAGCUCGUAGGCGGUUCGAUAAGUCGGACGUGAAAUCUCCACGCUCAACGUGGAGGGGCCGUUCGAUACUGUCGUGACUCGAGUCCGGUAGGGGAGUGUGGAAUUCCCGGUGCAGCGGUGAAAUGCGCAGAGAUCGGGAGGAACACCCGUAGCGAAGGCGGAACUCUGGGCCGGUACUGAAGCUGAGGAGCGAAAGCGUGGGGAGCAAACAGG
This 254-nucleotide ribosomal RNA is filed under the name uncultured bacterium. RNAcentral's name for it is "partial 16S ribosomal RNA". It matches the Rfam family "Bacterial small subunit ribosomal RNA", at positions 524 to 776 of the family's 1533-position model. The record is from RNAcentral.